Molecule: ribosomal RNA, 254 nt
Filed under: uncultured bacterium
Lineage: Bacteria
Description: partial 16S ribosomal RNA
Rfam family: Bacterial small subunit ribosomal RNA
Source: RNAcentral
UACGGGGGGAGCAAGCGUUGUUCGGAUUUACUGGGCGUAAAGAGCGCGUAAACGGCCACUGCAAAUCGACUGUGAAAUCUCCGAACUUAACCCGGAAAGGUCAGCCGAUACUGCAGGGCUAGAGUGCAGAAAAGGCAACUGGAAUUCUCGGUAUAGCGGUGAAAUGCAUAGAUAUCGAGAGGAACACCUGCGGCGAAGACGGGUUGCUGGGCUGACACUGACGCUAAAGCGCGAAAACUAGGAGAGCGAACGGG